CAGGCGGCGGAUCCGCUCUGCCUCCUCAUCCUUCUUUCUCUGGCGGCUUCUGUAGGUAUCUUGAUCGGCUUGGAAUGAUUGCAGCCACGGAACUGCCCCAUAGCCUCUCGUACGCCCACCGUGCUCAGGAUUUUCAAGCGCAUAGGUGAGUUCAUCCUUCUCCCUGUUAGGCCUGAACUCACCAGACUGAACCGCCUCUCGUGCCCGGACUAGUCUCUCUGCUGCUCUAGAGAUUUCUUGGCCCCAAACUAGCGCCCC
This 258-nucleotide long non-coding RNA is filed under the name Sorghum bicolor (sorghum). Its description in RNAcentral is "long non-coding RNA (SBIC_LNC006035)". Lineage: Eukaryota; Viridiplantae; Streptophyta; Magnoliopsida; Poales; Poaceae. The record is from RNAcentral.